RNAcentral lists this ribosomal RNA (405 nucleotides) under uncultured bacterium. RNAcentral describes it as "bacterial SSU rRNA". It matches the Rfam family "Bacterial small subunit ribosomal RNA", at positions 355 to 775 of the family's 1533-position model. The record is from RNAcentral.
UCGGGAAUUUUGGGCAAUGGGCGAAAGCCUGACCCAGCAACGCCGCGUGAAGGAUGAAGUAUUUCGGUAUGUAAACUUCGAAAGAAUGGGAAGAAAAAAAUGACGGUACCAUUUAUAAGGUCCGGCUAACUACGUGCCAGCAGCCGCGGUAAUACGUAGGGACCAAGCGUUGUUCGGAUUUACUGGGCGUAAAGGGCGCGUAGGCGGCAUAUUAAGUCAGCUGUGAAAUCUCCGAGCUUAACUCGGAACGGUCAGCUGAUACUGAUGUGCUAGAGUGCGGAAGGGGCAAUCGGAAUUCUUGGUGUAGCGGUGAAAUGCGUAGAUAUCAAGAGGAACACCUGAGGUGAAGACGGGUUGCUGGGCCGACACUGACGCUGAGUGCGCGAAAGCCAGGGGAGCAAACGG